ACUCCAUAUUAAUGCCAAUGAUUUUGGAAUGAGAUGUUCGACGAGCAGGUGUCCACAUACCUUUGGUCAAGUAGUGUAUUUUAUGUCAUUUAUAUGUCAUGGUCAUACCAUGGCUACUCACACAAGCAUCUCCCUGGGGGAAUACAUACACAAUUGAUUUUGUAUUUGACCCACAUAUUUCCUAUUUCAUGCACUCUCCAUUUAACCUGGUACUCCACUGAAGAUCCAGAGACUGCAUACCCCAGCCAAGACGUCAUUUGGAAGAGGUUUGAGCAGGCCUUCAUUAUGUCUUGGGGACUAGUCACCUACGCUACUGUAUUCAAGGACUUACUAUAAGGGCCUGAGCUGAGGUCAUUGGUUCCAGAUGUAAACAAUACACACACACAGAUGCAUGUAUAUUGUUCGACCCGUGUUAUAUGACUUUAGUUGUUAGUGAUUAAGUUGUUAGGAUCAUUCCAAACACAGAAUAGAUUGAGUUGACCAACCAUUUUCAAGUUGUAACCAAACUGUAUUGUCACACAAAAUACACUGUGUAAUUCUUACAUGUUUAUUACUGAUGCACAGACAUACGAGCUGGAUGGGAGCACACAUGACAGUGCCUGGGACCUCAAGACCUAUCAGGACGAGACCAGGCCAUUUGUGCCAGAACACCCAGACUUCCUGGGAGCUAGGGUCCUCUUCACUUGGCACAGCCAUAUCAUUGAACACAGUGGAGGAGGCAAUGAACCUACAGAAAGCCUUUCCAGAGAUUGUAGCUGGAUUUAACUUGGUAGGUACAUCCUUAGUCACAAGACUCCUCAAAAUUGUCUAAUCUCUUUUAGUGGAAAAAAAUUAUGAUUUAUAUGGACUUAAUUUAUUAAUUACUUUCAUUACUAGGUUUAUUACUAAAUAGGUAUAGGUUGUGCAGGGUGUUGUUGACGUGUCUGACGUUUUCUUCUGGUAUUAGGUGGAAGACCCCUCUGGUACUUCGAGGAGGCUUUGUCUCUGCCAGGUGAGAGAAGAGUCAACCAUCCCUGCUUCCAUGCAGGAGAAACUGAUGAAGACAACACUGAUAUGGAUGGGAGCCUGCUGGAUGCUCUACUGAUCAACGCGUCUUGCACCGGCCACGGCUUUUCCCUGCUGCGCCACCCAGUGGCCAAGGAGCUCUCUAGGAAGAGAGGGGUGGUGUUAAAGGCGUUGGAAGGCCCGCAGGGUUUCCCAACCUCUCACAUAGAAACUCUCAAGGAACUGGCUAUGAACUCCAUCAGGUAUAGCUCUGUCUCCACAGCUGAAGGAGAAAGCCUUGACCUUGUGGCAAAGAAAAUGGGAAAUGUUUGUCUCAGAGAACUCACGAUACAGACCUGCUUGGGGAGAGGCCUGGGGCAGAGGAGUGGUCAUUUGGAUGCUGACUGUUACAUCACCUCAGACCUUGAGCCUGUUGCUUGUGCCCCAUAAGUGUUACCAUAGGAAGGGAAGGAUAUUUGGCAUGGUGUUCCCAAAUGACAAAUGGACACAAUUAGGACAAGGGAAAGGAUGCAGUUGUUAUUUAAAUGAAUACGGAGCUCCAGACGGUUUGGCAAAUUAAGUUUGAGAAGAGAAAGAGAACGAGCUCAUAUCUCCCUCCAGUGGAUUUGGUUUGUAUAACACUCCUGUAAAAAUCAGCAGACCACACUGCUGUCAGUUCCCACAAAAUGGAGGCCCCUGACAGGACUGGAAUUCACUAGUCAAAUAGUCAUGAAAGGACGCUGUUUGUUUUCAUGCAAAGGCAUUUGACAAAAAUAAAUUCUGUUGC
Molecule: non-coding RNA, 1771 nt
Organism: Salmo salar (Atlantic salmon)
Lineage: Eukaryota; Metazoa; Chordata; Actinopteri; Salmoniformes; Salmonidae
Source: RefSeq, a predicted model, not a curated record